RNAcentral lists this long non-coding RNA (397 nucleotides) under Polistes fuscatus (common paper wasp). RNAcentral's name for it is "uncharacterized LOC122518928". The record is from RNAcentral. Lineage: Eukaryota; Metazoa; Arthropoda; Insecta; Hymenoptera; Vespidae.
ACGUAGCGUCAACUAGUGGUCAAAUUGCAAAGUUUAGUAGGCGGUUUUCUAUCUUAAAAGUUUUGUUAAAGUGAUUAAAGUAAUGUUUAAUUCUAUUAAAAUAAUGGAAAAAAGAAAAAUAUAUUAUAAAUAUAACAUUUUUAAAACCAGUAAUCAUAAAAAGAGAAGCUGAAGAGAAAGGAAAAUUCUACAAGAAAGAAGAUGUAUACAACCAAUGAUAAUCUGCUCUACAAAAUUAAAGAAAACUCUCCAAGAAGAAUGAAUCUCUACAUGAAUCUACAAACAUGAUCGAACAUCUUCUACGGUAACGCUUCGAAGAAAAAUCUCCUGCUGGUACGAAGAAGAAGAUGGAAUGGAUACUGAUAAGGAUUCCAAGGUUCUCUAAUGAUCAGCGAAU